GUGGGGAAUUUUGGACAAUGGGGGCAACCCUGAUCCAGCCAUCCCGCGUGUGCGAUGAAGGCCUUCGGGUUGUAAAGCACUUUUGGCAGGGAAGAAAAGUUUCGGGCUAAUACCCUGGAGCGAUGACGGUACCUGCAGAAUAAGCACCGGCUAACUACGUGCCAGCAGCCGCGGUAAUACGUAGGGUGCAAGCGUUAAUCGGAAUUACUGGGCGUAAAGCGUGCGCAGGCGGUUCGGAAAGAAAGAUGUGAAAUCCCAGGGCUUAACCUUGGAACUGCAUUUUUAACUGUCGAACUCGAGUAUGUCAGAGGGGGGUAGAAUUCCACGUGUAGCAGUGAAAUGCGUAGAGAUGUGGAGGAAUGCCGAUGGCGAAGGCAGCCCCCUGGGAUAAUACUGACGCUCAUGCACGAAAGCGUGGGGAGCAAACAGGAUUAGAAACCCUUGUAGUCC
RNAcentral lists this ribosomal RNA (450 nucleotides) under uncultured bacterium. Its description in RNAcentral is "partial 16S ribosomal RNA". It matches the Rfam family "Bacterial small subunit ribosomal RNA", at positions 354 to 796 of the family's 1533-position model. The record is from RNAcentral.